Molecule: ribosomal RNA, 407 nt
Filed under: uncultured Methanolinea sp.
Lineage: Archaea; Methanobacteriati; Methanobacteriota; Methanomicrobia; Methanomicrobiales; Methanoregulaceae
Description: bacterial SSU rRNA
Rfam family: Archaeal small subunit ribosomal RNA
Source: RNAcentral
UAAGACAGCUGGAUGAUAGCCGGGACUGAAGACUCUGCUUGACUAGCUGAGAGGAGGUGCAUGGCCGUCGUCAGUUCGUACUGUGAAGCAUCCUGUUAAGUCAGGCAACGAGCGAGACCCACGCCAACAGUUGCCAGCAUGUCCUCCGGGAUGAUGGGGACACUGUUGGGACCGCCUCUAGCUAAAGAGGAGGAAGGAAUGGGCAACGGUAGGUCAGCAUGCCCCGAAUUAUCCGGGCUACACGCGGGCUACAAUGGUCAGGACAAUGGGUAUCGACACCGAGAGGUGGAGGCAAUCUCCUAAAACCUGUCCUUAGUUCGGAUUGUGGGCUGCAACUCGCCCACAUGAAGCUGGAAUCCGUAGUAAUCGCGUUUCAAAAUAGCGCGGUGAAUAUGUCCCUGCUCCUU